UACGGAGACUGCGAGCGUUACUCGGAUUCACUGGGCGUAAAGGGUGCGUAGGCGGACAGAUGUGUCAGGUGUGAAAGCCCAGAGCUCAACUCUGGAACUGCGCCUGAAACUAUUUGUCUAGAGUAUCGGAGAGGUAAGCGGAAUUCCUAGUGUAGCGGUGAAAUGCGUAGAUAUUAGGAGGAACACCAAAGGCGAAGGCA
This 200-nucleotide ribosomal RNA is filed under the name uncultured bacterium. Its description in RNAcentral is "partial 16S ribosomal RNA". It matches the Rfam family "Bacterial small subunit ribosomal RNA", at positions 524 to 723 of the family's 1533-position model. The record is from RNAcentral.